CAGCCGUAAACUAUGCGCGUUAGGUGUAUCGGUGACCACGAGUUACCGAGGUGCCGAAGGGAAACCGUGAAACGUGCCGCCUGGGAAGUACGGUCGCAAGGCUGAAACUUAAAGGAAUUGGCGGGGGAGCACCACAACAGGUGGAGCCUGCGGUUUAAUUGGACUCAACGCCGGGAAGCUCACCGGAUAGGACAGCAGAAUGAUUGCCGGGCUGAAGACCCUGCAUGACUAGCUGAGAGGAGGUGCAUGGCGUCAGUGA
Molecule: ribosomal RNA, 259 nt
Filed under: uncultured archaeon
Lineage: Archaea
Description: partial 16S ribosomal RNA
Rfam family: Archaeal small subunit ribosomal RNA
Source: RNAcentral